UUAAGACAGGCUCGUCUUAUUUAUCGUCAUCGCUCACUGCAGUGUGCUUGUUUAUUUAAAAGCAGGAUAAGUCAUUAUCCAAGGCGCUAUCAGGCAGUUCCAGCUUGAUGUGGUGUGUGGGUGUGAGUGUGUGGGAAACACAGAAAUACGUUAUGUAUGUGUGUGUGCAUGUGAGCAUAUAUAUGCGUGUAUGUAUAUGUAUGUGUAUAUGUACAUGUGUAUGUGUAUAUGUGUGUGUAUACAUAUAUGUGUGUGUAUAGUAGUUUUACUUAGUAACAAAAUUAGAAAGUAAUCUCCAUUCCCAUAGGGGAGACAUGCCCUAUCAUGGGGGCAUUUGAGGUCACCUCCAUUACUAUGGACGUGGAGGCUGUUGAGCUAACUUGGAUUGGAGGAAAGGUACAUUAGCCAUAAAGUGUUUCAAGACUUUAAUGAUGAGCCAAAUCUUAGAAAAUUAUAUUUAAUAAAUAUAUGUAACAUUCUGUAUUUAAGUUUCCCCCUUUACAAAGAAAGAGCCCACAUUUUAGGAUUUCAUAUCUCAAGGAUGAAAUUUUCCUGAAUGCAGUCAAUACUUGGAAGAUUUUUUUCAAGUUCUGAGCAUUACAGUGCACGUGAGGUAUGUGUAAACCAGACUCAGAUUGAUUAGGAUAGUGAGGGGGAAAAAGCCAUAUUGAUUCAGCAAACACUGAACUCAUAUGUCCUGAGUAUCAGAGAACAUAAUCAUGACAAGAUAAUUUUGAGAUAAAUAGGUUGCUUAGCUUGGAGCAGUCUAGAGAUCUAUGGUAGCUGAUUUAAAAUACAGCAUUUGGAAGGCCGAUUGGAAGAUUUAUUUUGUGUAGUCCAAAAGACAACUAGGACUAAAUUAGUGAAAGUUAUUUGGAGAUGGAGUUCACCUUCAGUAUAAAGAGGUUUUAGGAAAGGUUUUUUUUUUUUUCUUUUUUUAAUUAAAGAAAACUUUAAAACAGAUAGGGUACCUUGGGAGAUAGCUCUUCUCAGUGAUUAAAAAAAUAAAUCUGGAGGAGAUAGAUUUACAUGGGGAAAGUAGGUGACUGUUCCAACUCUAGAGAGUCUUUGAAUUAUGGACGGAGAUAGUUGCUCUGUUGACAAAUGGAUUGCGAAAUUUUAACAUUUUAGACGCUAAAGAGUUUGAUAGAAUGUAACUGAAUAGAAAGUGUGGUAACUGAAGAAUAGAUAUUAAAAAGAAACAUCUAAACAUUGAAGCCACAUAAAAGUAACAAAAUGAAAAUACUGUUUCAAAUCAAGUGUUUAUAAACAUCAAAGCCUUUCGAUACUAUCAGUUUAUUCUAAUAGAAUUGCAGCAAUUAUGUAAAAAUCAACUUUUCCUCUUUACUAUUUUUUAUUUAAGUACUUUACAUAUUUCAAGGUAUUCCUCAUCUUGUUCUAACAACUAUAUAAUCUUUAGAUUAACAUCACAAUAGGCCUACACAUUCCCCUGCAGCUGGAAAUUUGGAAUGUUUAUAUAAAUGUGUUUUUUGUUCAUAAUGUUCAGUGGUAAGUAGCCCUAUACCAAUAUCAAUUGUUAUUUUUUUUCUCUUUUAAAUUAUACCCUUAGAUGUAUUCACUAAAACGAUAAUACCAGGUUCAAAGAAUAUCAUUUUCUGGCAUUUGUUCCCAUUUGCCAGUUUACCUUUUUAAUAAUUUACAUAAAGUAACUGCUGAAUUUUUAACAGUCAGGAAAAAGAAAUGUCCCCUUACUCCCACCCAAUCUAAUGUUUUAUUAGUUUCAAUUUUCGGUAAAUAAAAUGUAGUUGAAGCAGAUUAGAAAGUAUGAUAUGUGAUUUAGUGGCUAGAAGAUUUAAAGUGUUUUUUUUUUCUUGAUGAUCUCUACUGUCAACAAAUAUUUAAUUCCUAUUAAAGACAUUAAAGAAACAACCCAAACCGUUCCCCCCUUAAAUCAAUAGUAUGUAUUAACUUCCUCCUUAAAGCUGUUAAUUUUUUUUUUCUUUUAACGCCUACAGCCCCUGGUCUUCCUAGGUGGUCUCUCAUCCAAGUACUAACCAGUCUUGACCCUGCUUAGCUUCCGAGAUCAGACGAGAUCAGGCGUGUUCAGGGUGGCAUGGCCAUAAACAAAGCUGUUAAAUUUUUAAUGUGAGGACUGAUUCUCAGAAAUAAUGACAACUCUGGUACAUAUCUUAAUAGCACAUAUUUAACUUAAGUGUCAUUAAAAUACAUCUACAAUUUAGUUCUCAUUGUAUUGUUUAUUUGUUUAGGAAACAUUAACAUGUUUAUAAUAACUGCUUUAUGAAAAAAAGAUAAUCUGUUUCACACUGGACAAUGAUAAUGUAGCAGUUGAAGAAUCUAUUUUGAAGCACUAUAGAAGAAAAACAACCAAUUUCCACUCUUGAGUCUCUCCUUCAAGAUAGAUUGUAAUAGCUAAUGACAUUUGGCUCUCUUGAACGAUCUACUUAAGAAACCAUACUUAGACUUUGUUGAAAGAAAAACCUGGAAGAUAACUUUGUAGCAAUUGUUUAAAAAGUCUAGGAGACCAAAGAUAUUUUCAUUUUCUAUCAUGACAAUGAGAGCUAAAAAAGUUAUAGUUCACAUUGUUAUUGCCAGUUUUUCCUUCCCUAUUUAGAGCCAGCAAAUUUUUUUUAAAGCAGUUGAUUCUCAUGAUGACUCUGCAUUCUUAGUAAACACUCAGAGAUCCUUAAUUACUGUAGAAUAUUUAUAGAUAGUACAAUAUUUAUCUGUUAGAAAGAACUUAUCUGUUUUGGUUUAGGUAACAUUUUUAAGAGUGAGGCUUUUGAGAUAAGUUAGUACCAUUCUGCCCUUUGGGAGUGUAGUGUAUUCUAAUACUUUGACCUUUCAAAAAGCUCUCCUUGUCAUAUGAACUUUUAAAAUAGAACAACAAAAAAAUCUUCCUAAAGUCAGAAUUUCAUUACUUCUAGAUUUAAAAGCUAGCUGUGAAACUCUGAAUAUAGUAGUAGUUCUCCACUUGAACUAGUUUGCGUCUUUGAAAUGUAAUGAUUUUCCUUCUAAAGACAAACAAUAUUUUCCCCAGAGAAACACAGAUAUGCCAGAGUUGACAGCUUUAAGGGCAUUAGCUCUAUUUAUCCAGAAAGGGCCAAUUUUGAACAGAGAAUUUAGAAGUGGAACAGAGUUGAAAAUAUAUUCACAAAAAGAUGUACAAGCUUGUUCAUAGCACACUUAUUUACAAUAGCCCAAGCCGAAAGGAACCCGAUUAUACCAACAGGAAAAUGGAUAAACAAAUUACAGUAUAUUUAUAGAGUGGAAUACUAGUUAGCAAUAAAAAGGGAUGAAUUACUGAUCCACUAGAUGAAUCUCAAAAACUUUAUGUUGAAUGAAAAAAGCUUUGGGAGAGGAAUUAGUGGUGGGGGAUAGACUAGAAAGGGUCAAGAGAAUACUUUCUGGGGUGGUAGAAAUAUUUUACAUAUUUUUACACAUUUUCAGUGGAGGCUACAGGGUUGUAUUUAACUGUCACAACCCAGAGCUAAACACCUAAGAUCUGUUUAUCAUAUUGUAUUUAAAUUGUACCUUAUUUAUUUGUAAAGAAAUGGAACCAAAGGUGAGUUUUCUCAAUAGGAAAGUAAAAUAAAUCAUUAAGUUCAGACUACAGAAUUACAUUUAUUAACAUGUAAAUAAUAAAGAUUAUUUCUGGAAGAUGGAAGAAUUUUAUAAAACUUUUUUUGAGAAGUUGGGAAAAUAUUUACAUAGUUACUAUAAGUUGUAAAAGUUUUCCUCUCUUCCUAUUUAGACCAACUAUAUGUAAAAGUCAAAUAUUUAAAGAUUAUACUAGCCUUUGUAGAGAACAGUUUUGAUCUCAUUAAAACAUUUUCUUCCAUAUAACUACUUGGCAGUUUAAAAUUGCUCAAGUCAUCAAGUAUUUAUUGAGCCCUUACUAUGGGCCAGGCAAUGUUCUAGAUACUGUGACACUGUUCUGUUCAUAAUAGUGAAUGGAAAAAAGAUUUAAAAAUUAAUCAUUAAUUUCAUUUUAUUGGUCCUUUGGUCUUGAAUAGUCUGUAUUAGGUUUGAAGUGAUAAUCGUAAAGCCGUCCAUUGAAAUUAUUUUACUUUCAUCUUUCUACAGAUCAGAAAAAUAAAUUGUGUCUUGCCUAUAAAUGACACCUAAGAAAAUGUUAUAAAAUGAUCAACAACCAAUUACCAAUAUUAUUUUUAUGGUAUUAUAUACAACCUUUUGAAAAAGAAAAAAAUCUGUCCUAGUUCCUUAGAAAAUAAUUUCUCAUUGAGAUCCAAGUGUGUUAAUAUGCACUUUCAAAAAUGUUUUUAUCAUUGUAUUUGUUUAUAUAUCUUGAUCAGCAAUGGUGUGAUAGAUGGCCUAUCUAUGUAAAAGGUUGAAUCAGCCCCCUCUUAAUUCUAUUUCUUCUAAGAAAAUUCUUUUAACAGUGUCUGCUUUCAGAAAAUUGGUGUUAAAAUUGCUUGCUACUCAAGUUGUUUUGAAACGUUCUUUUCUGUUUAGAUUUUGUUUUUCUGAUGGCACCAGUUCUUUCACUCUGUCGUCUUAGUCUUAUUGUUUAUCUUAAUAGUGGGAAAUAAAAUAUUAUAAAAUGAAUAUUAGAACCCUGCUCUGUAUUAGUGUGGUCUGAUUUUUUUUUUUUUUUUAAUUAGAGGUGAUAAAAAAAAUUGGAAACAGGAAAACUUCACUGAUAGAGGAAGAAGGUCUAUCCAGAAGUGAAAAUAUUGAACUAAGGGAAAAAUUUUAAGGAAAUUCAAUCCUUUUACAUUCUAACAAGUAAAUAAAAUGUUACCUUACUGGGCACCUUUUUAAUGGAUUGAACGUUGAGGUCAGCCAGUUCCAUCUUUGACUUAACUACAGUCAAAAUGCAUCUCUUUCUUUCUCCAAACCCUGAUCUUCAUUCAUAUUUUUAAGUUCAAAUCGUGGCUUAUCUUCAAAAACCCUUGUUACUUGAGGCACCUUCUUGUCCUAAGUGAAACAAAGCUCUCUCUAAGGAAAGCACUUCCCCUGUGGCUCUCUCAGUGGUGUCUUUCCCCCUCCCCCUACACCUCCCCCUGUCCCCCUUGUCUUUAUGGGAUGAGGGAGCAGAUGCAGUUUGCAUCUUUCAGGCUCCGCAGAGCUACUUCCACCCUGGAAUUGUUUCACUAUCUUUCAAAGAAAACUCUUCUGCCAUCCAUCAGUAUCCCUUUUUGCUGUUACCUGUUGAACUUUAGUCUCUCCCUUACAUUUUUUAAGAAUGCUAAAACCUCAUAUUUCCCUCUUUUUCCUAUAAUACUGCACUGCACUUUCUUUUUCUGUUUAAUUCUGCCCUUCUUAUAUUCUGUUUUGUUUGUUUGUUUUGUUUUAUUUCAUUUUGUUUUUAAAUUAGAGGCCAUUACCACCAUACAUCCAGAUGAUGAAACCAGAAUUAUGGGAAUCAUGAAGGAUCUCCACUGCCACCAUUUACCUCAUGCUUCAUACUUAGUCACCAAAUCCUAGUAAUUUGACUGAGUUAGUGGUUCUUAAGUUUAAAAGCCAAAGAAACCUGACUCUAUAUGAAAAUCUGGAUUUAUACAACAGAUAAACUGAAUUAGUUAUUUAUCUGAAAUCCUGCUCUGUGCUAGGCACUGUACUAAGCUUAUGGAAGACUCAACUUUAUGAAUAGAUAACAGCAGUGUGAUAAGAGAAAUAUGAGAAAAAGGGGCUUGGAAGCACAGGAGGAAGCAAUUAAUUUUGCUUUGUGAAAUCUGGAAAGACUUCUGGAGUAGGCAAUAUUUGACCCUAGUCUUGAAAGUUUUACACAAAUUAGUAGAAAGGCGUGGCAGACACAAGAAAUUCCUUAUGCAAGGAACACAGGAAAGUUGCUACUAGGUAAUAGUUUCGGGUGGCUUCAUGUACACAAGAAAUGGAAUGUGUUGUGGGAACUGAAGCUGUUAAAGUUGUCCUACCAUGCUGUAGAGUUAGUACUUUAUAGGAACAAUGGUCUAUAGCAGCACCAUCCAAAAAACUCUGUGAUGAUGGAAAUGUUCUUUGUGCUGUCAAAUACAGUAGUAUCCAGUAGCCACAAGCCACAUGUGGCUACUGAGUUGCUGAAAUGUGACUAGUGUGUCUUAGAAACUGAUUUUUGAGUUUUAUUUAAUUUUAAUUUAUUUAAAUAUGCACAUUUGUGUUUUAAUCAUGUUUUUUAUUUUCUAUAUUUUAUGACUGACAUCUUGGGGGACCUUGCUAGCCACGGAGAACCUGUCCCUUGCUGGACUACCUAAUUCCCUGAGAUCAUCAAAAACUUGCCUAAAGAGCAAGUUUUAUAGGCAAGUUUAUAGGCAAAUCAACCAAUCCUAAGCCUAUAUACCUCAACUACCUUAUCUAGCUCAUUCACCAACCAGGAUUUCCCUAGCCGUAAAUCACCCCGGGCCAGGUGUGAAACAACUAGGGACCACCUCUGUAGCCUGGAGUACACAAAUUUUUCAAGCUAUCCAAUUCUAAACUCUACCUUGCCUUACCUUGCCAUUUCCUGGAAAACAGGCUUGUGCUCACAUUUUCUUCUCACCCUCCUCCUGAUCAACCCUGGUAUUUCCCCACGUGGUCUUGCGUGGCAUGGUGUGUCCCCUUCUCUUAGAAACUGUAAUACACUUUUCUUUCAAGGCCGUUGUCUCUGCGUCUGUCAUCUUACUCUAUUUGAUUAAAACCUGGGUACAAUCAAAACAGUGUGGCUAGUGGCUACUAUAUUGGGUAGCACAGAACUAACUAUACUCCCCCACACCUAAAAUAGUUAUCAUUUCCAGAACCAUAAUUCAUUCAGAGGAUCUAUUUGGAGUGUUUUCACUUUGGUUAUGAGACUAGAAUAGUCACCAUAACAGGUAAAAUCCUUAUCCUUACAGAGCUUCAUUCUGAUGACUGAAAGAUUAUAUCCCACCAAUGUCUAUCAUAUUAGCAUUGUUGAAUUUCAAAUAUUUUUUCAAAGGAGUUGCUACUAAUCUCCAUAAUCUCUUAUCAAAUGCUAACAUUUAUUUUAUAUUUUUUCUGUGCCAGGCACUUUUAUAGGUGCUACAUAUAUAUAAAUGGGUUGUUUCAUCUAGAGCUCACCUUUGGUAUGGUGUUGUAUCACAAAGGGUUUCAUUUUGGAAGAGUUGGUAGUAAGCCAAUCUUUCAAUAGUUGAACAGUAAGAACUAUUAUGUCAGGAGAGCAGUUACUAAGAGAAGAAUAUAAAAUUUUGAAUCUCUUGGAUUUGAUCCAUGGUGAUUGAGAAUAAGCUUUGGACUUACUGUCCUGGACUAUACCUGAUUAAGCUACAGUUUACCCACAUGAAAAAUGCAAAUAAUAAAUACAGUUGUUUAAGCUAACACAGUGUUAAAUGAGAUAAUACAGUUGCACUCUUAGCAUAGUCUUUUCAUUAUCAUUAACAUUUAUUAGUAUAUCUUACCAUUUAAUAUUCAGGUUUUCUUUUUCUCAACUAAGCUAUUUGUACAUAGUGCUUAGCAAGGUAUCAAGGAAGCCCUCAGUGAAGAAUGCCAAAUGGUCACUCUUUAAGGACAGAAAGUAUUCCCAGCAGAGCCCAGCCGAGGCAGGACACUAGUUAGCAUUUGAUAAAUACAUGCAGAAAUGUUUACCUUGGUUUCCUGGUGUGUUUGUCUCCGCAGGCAAAGGGACCAUUUCAUUUAUAUCAGUUAUGUUCCCUAUCCCCCAAGACAGCGAUGAAUACUAAAGAAAGCAUUUAAUGAACACAUAUGGAAUCAGAUGGAUCUAAUAAUGAGAACAUUUAGUAUAUGAAAAUUUCAAUUCUUUAAAAUAAUAGCUUUUAUACAUUAUUUAGGUGUUUCUUUAGGAAUGACUAUGUUUUACAAAUGUUGUAAAUUAAAUCACUGAGGUUGUGUUCUGUCUGAAAUUAUAAUUCCAUGGUAAAAUAUACAGAUAUUCUGUUGUAUGAUUUUAGACAUUGAAAUAUUUUCUAAAUCUAUAAAAUAUGUCACACAUUGAAUUUUGUUUAUAAUUAUGGUUAUCAUAAUUCCUGAAAUAAAAAUGAAGAUAAACAUAAAUAUACUUAGGAUAAUAGGAGAGGAUAUUUGAUAAAGGACCUAUUUCUGAAAAUUUUGUUUUCCAUUUCACGAGUCUUGCUAGCCCACAAAUGAAACCAAAUGUUUUGAUUGUGUUACUUAUUCAUGGUUUUACAGAUGAAUAGUUAAGAAGUUAAAAUGAGAAGAAUAGAUAAAGAAUAAUCUCAAGGAUGAGACAUGCUAUUUGAGUUCUAUUACAAGACCACUGCAGACUAACAAAUCUA
Molecule: long non-coding RNA, 8207 nt
Organism: Pteropus alecto (black flying fox)
Lineage: Eukaryota; Metazoa; Chordata; Mammalia; Chiroptera; Pteropodidae
Exons: 3
Source: RefSeq, a predicted model, not a curated record